This 41-nucleotide ribosomal RNA is filed under the name Merianthera eburnea. Its description in RNAcentral is "partial 18S small subunit ribosomal RNA". The record is from RNAcentral. Lineage: Eukaryota; Viridiplantae; Streptophyta; Magnoliopsida; Myrtales; Melastomataceae.
UACCUGGUUGAUCCUGCCAGUAGUCAUAGGCUUGUCUAAAA